Molecule: RNA transcript, 630 nt
Organism: Arabidopsis thaliana (thale cress)
Lineage: Eukaryota; Viridiplantae; Streptophyta; Magnoliopsida; Brassicales; Brassicaceae
Exons: 1
Source: RefSeq
GCCGCGUGUGAAUUCUUUCAAGGCAAGGGGCGGCCUGAUUUCGACAUUGUUGUUUCACUCUGAUCCGGUCGAGGUGGUUUUCGUUUACCAGCGCGUAGGUGGUCUAAGUUCCUAUGACCGAGUCUUUCUGGCCCCUGUGAACAUCUUUUCUUAAUGUAUUAAAGAGGGCCUCUCUAACCGGUGAAAAGUAGUGGGUGUCCACUAACGGCCGUUCCCGGCUCGGCUCCGAUAACGAAAUUCCGGGAGGAGUCGGUAGUUGGGCACUGGAUCCCUUCGGACCUGGAGAACGUGUGACGCUGGGUAGGGGUUUGGUGAACCAACUGGUCGCUCCUCUAGUUGAAGUAUCGGGCCCCUUUUCGUUGCCUAGGUUACACCUUCGGAAUACCCCAGAAGGGAAUUUAUCUCUACUUCCCUAAAUCUUCACUUGAUGCCACGCCGACUCUCCUUUCGUCAUAAGGCGUGGAAUUAGACCAAGGGGAAUCUCCAUAGAAACAGGUCCCUCUGAUUUCGCGCGUAGGAGAUCGAGACACAGCCCAAGGGCUAUGGAGAAAGAUGUAGAUCGAUCGCCCUAGAUAGACAACUACAUAGAGGGUCUUUACAAGUCUAUAUAUUCUUUGAUUUCGUUCCCCC